GACCCGCCCCAGGGGAGGGGAGGGGUGAACGGAAGCGUGAGGGACGGGGCGCUGGAAGACGCUUGGCGUCAUCAAGAUGCGCCGGGAGAGUUGCGGCGCCUGGUGUCUCAGGGAGGCUUGAGGUUCGGGUAGUCGGUGACAUGGCGGAGGCCGCGGCGCUGGUGUGGAUUAGCGGCCCUGGCUUCGGGUGCAAAGCGGUGCGGUGUGCCUCGGCUCGGUGCACCGUCCGGGAUUUUAUCCACUGGCACUGCCAAGAUCAGAAUGUUCCAGUGGAAAACUUCUUUGUGAAAUGCAAUGGAGCACUCAUUAACACCAGUGACACAGUGCAGCAUGGAGCUGUUUAUAGUUUGGAACCCAGACUUUGCGGUGGAAAAGGAGGUUUUGGAUCUAUGCUCCGAGCACUUGGUGCUCAGAUUGAGAAGACAACCAAUCGAGAAGCCUGUCGGGAUCUCAGUGGAAGGAGACUACGCGAUGUCAAUCAUGAAAAAGCAAUGGCUGAAUGGGUAAAACAACAAGCCGAGCGAGAGGCUGAAAAGGAGCAUAAGCGGCUGGAGCGACUGCAGCGGAAGCUUGUAGAACCCAAGCACUGCUUCACCAGCCCCGACUACCAGCAGCAGUGCCAUGAGAUGGCUGAGCGUCUGGAGGAUUCUGUCCUCAAAGGUAUGCAGGCUGCCUCCAGCAAGAUGGUUUCAGCAGAAAUCAGUGAGAAUCGGAAACGGCAAUGGCCUACUAAAUCUAAAACAGACAGAGGAGCCAGUGCGGGAAAGAGGAGGUGCUUCUGGUUGGGCAUGGAGGGACUAGAGACUGCAGAAGGGUCCAGCUCUGAGAGUUCAGAUGAUGACAGUGAAGAAGCACCAAGCACUUCAGGAAUGGGUUUCCAUGCUCCAAAAAUUGGUAGCAAUGGUGUCGAGAUGGCAGCCAAAUUUCCCAGUGGUUCUCAGAGGGUGAGAGUAGUGAAUACAGACCCUGGAUCACCAGAACAACUGCAGAUCCCGGUGACAGACUCUGGGAGGCAUAUUUCAGAAGACUCAUGUGCUGAGCUGGGGGAGUCCAAAGAGCAUAUGGAAAGCAGGAUGGAUACAGAAACAGAAAAGACCCAGGAGAAGAAGGCAGAGAGUAAAGAACCCAUAGAAGAGGAACCCACUGGGGCUGGACUGAAUAAGGAUAAAGAGACAAAAGAAACGACUGAUGGGGAAAGAGUUGCUGAGGUAGCACCUGAAGAAAGGGAAAACGUUGCCAUUGCCAAACUGCAGGAUAGCCAGCCAGGAAAUGCAGGAAUCUCAUCGUCGCUGCCUGAAUCCUCCGGCUUGACUUUCUUCAUCUGGGAGGACCCUCUGCACCCCCUGGGUUUAGAGAAGAGAUGACCGUUCAGCAAAAGCACCUGAAGACAGCGCUACAGAUGCACGGUCAGCGCCGUGAUUCCCAUGUCUGAAGCGACCCCUGCUGGCUGCCGGCCCGGGCUCAGGGUCCACCGAAGCCAGCCUCCAGCCCCUACUUCUGUGCUUCCUGGAGGGCACUGCCCCGGAGCCUGGGCAGCUGCAGAGACGAGGUCUCACUAUGUUGGCCAGGCUGACCUUGAACUCCGGGGCUCAAGGAUCCUCCCGCCACGGCCUCCAAAAGUGCUGGGAUUACAGACGUGAGCUACUGUGCCCAGUUCACUCACAUUCUUGGUCCUUCUGAAGAGAGGCGACACCAUUUGAAGCUUCAGGGUAGACUUUUUCCCCCUCAUCAAAAAUGAUUUUCUUACAGGGGGCUCUGCUCUUUAGAUAGUGCUGCAACCUCUGGGAGGCAGGAAUCGAAGCCACUAAGUCCCCUGGGGAUCUGCCUGGAAAUAUCUCUCACUGCCUGAGGCCGGACUCUAGGAAGUUCUAAAUUCUCCUCCCACCUUUGAUAAAUUAAGAAAAAACCACAGUGAUGUGGCAAAGGUAGAGGAAGGAAGGGUCCCAUCUCCGCUGCUGUGUCUUCAUUGACCAUGCCUUCCUUCAGAAACCCUUUCCUCUCUCGACUUUUCUCACUUUCCUGCUAUUCUCCCAGGCCCCAGCUGGGACCCUCCGCUCUCCCUACGACUGGGCCCAGGUGGGGUCAGUGGGAUACUCAUCUUGGAGGCAAAGUCUAAGAGGGCACCAAAGAAUUCAGUAAUCAAGAUAAACAAUAUUUUAGUUUAACAUUUUUAAGUGAAAAUUAACACCAAAAAAUCACGAUGAGCAAAAUAUCAAAAUAUAUAUAUAUAUUUUUUGAGGCAGGGUCUCACUCUGUUGCCCAGGCUGGAGUACGGUGGUGCAAUCACAGCUCACUGCAGCCUCGACCUCCCCGGGCUCAGGUGAUCCUUCCACCUCAGCCUCCCAAGUAGCUGGGACUAUAGGCGUGCACCACCAUGUCUGGCUAAUUGUUUUUGUAUUUUUUGUAGAGGUGGGGUUUCACCAUGUUGCCAAGGCUGGUCUUGAACUCCUGGGCUCAAGCAAUCCCCACCUCAGCCUCCCAAAGUGCUGGGAUUACAAGUGUGAGCCACUGUGGCUGGCCCAAACUUUUUUUUUUUGAGACAGAGUUUCACUCUGUCUCCCAGGCUGGAGUGCAGUGGCGUGAUCUUGGCUCACUGCAACCUCCACCUCCCAGGUUCAAGCGAUCCUCCUGCCUCAGCCCCCUAGUAGAUGGGAUUACAGGCACACGCCACCAUGCCAGGCUAAUUUUUGUAUAUUUAGUAGAGACGGGGUUUUGCCAUGUUGGCCAGGCUGGUCUCGAACUCCUGACUUCAGGUGAUCCACCUGCCUCGGCCUCCCAAAAUGCUGGGAAUACAGGUGUGAGCCACUGUGCCCGGCCCCAGACUUUUAAAUAAAUUCAGAAUCAGUCUCUCUCUUUCUGUGACAUUUGUUUUUGUGACAUCAAGUAUUACUUCUGUUUGGACAAUUCACAGAUUUCUCUUUUAAACACUGACUUCCUCUCUUGAGUAAAAGUUGUGGGUCUGCAGCUGCCUUCUGAAGACCCAUGGAGAGGUCCACUCAGGGAGGACCUGAUGCCUUCUGCAAAGAGCCAAAGAGGAGCUGAAGCCUUCAGCCAACAGCCAUGUGAGUGAAUCCUGCAGGUGGAUCCUCGGGCCGCAGGUAAGCCUUCAGCCGACUGCAGGCCUAGCCGACAUCUUCAUGGCAACCUCAUGGGAAACCCCGAGCCAGAACCAUGCAGCUAAACUGUUUCUGGAUUCUUCAUCCAUAGGAACAGUGAGACAAUAAAUGCUUGGUGUUUAAGCCACCAAGCCAAGAUAAUUUGUUACACAGCAAUCUUUCUCUGGAGAGGUUCUGGUGGACGUCUCCAAAGGGCUUCAUAAGUGUCCUUCUCCUAUAUUAUCUGAUGAUGGCCUCUUCCCCCCAUGGCUCCAGGUACCACCUACAUGCUGUGCUGAUGUUGCCCAGGGUCAUGGUUCCAUAACUUCUCCUCCCAGAUUUCCCACAGGCUCCUCAUCACUCAGACAGAACCUGAUGUCUUCUCCCUUGAAAUCUGGACCCGCCUCCUCUUACAGGCUGGGAGUCUCCUCUGCCACAUCUACUCAGUCCUUGGUCAGCAUAGACUCACCUCGUGGAUUGCUAGUGGCUUUAUCCCAUUUGCUACUGCCAUGAUUCAGGUCCCACAGUUUUUCUUCUGUGUGACUACAGAGGCCACUCCUCCUGGCCUCUUUUCCUCCAUUCCACACAAGGCUGCUGAGCGAGCUUUUCAAACCAUGACUGUCUCAGAAAACCCACUGUCUUCAGAAUAAAGUGGAAACUGCUGAUAUGGUCCCCCACUCCCGUACCUCUAAUGACGGCUAGGUUCAACCAAGACCUCGUUGGCUUGCUACACAGAUACAUAUAAACCAAGCCAUGGUGCGUCUGAGGGGCCGGGCUCAGCCAGACUGGUGGUUCCUCAUGCUGGGACAAUGCAAACAAUCGGACCCCUGCUACCCUCCCCACAAGUGUCAGACCAGCCUCGGGCCUUUGCUCCAUGGUCCUCAACUGAGGAGAGAAUGUGAGCGACCUGUUUAAGGUGACCGUAUAUAUGUUAUCUAUUUCAUACCAAUUUUUAGAAAAGGUGGUUCAGUGGCCGGGCACGGUGGCUCACGUUUAUAAUCCCAGCACUUUGGGAGGCCAAGGCGGGUGGAUCACGAGGUCAGGAGUUCAAGACCAGCCUGACCACUAAAAAUACAAAAAUUAGCCGGGCGCGGUGACACACGCCUGUAAUCCCAGCUACUCAGGAGACUGAGGCUGGAGAAUCACUUGAACCUGAGAGGCAGAGGUUGCAGUGAGCCAAGAUUGGGCCACUGCACUCCAGCCUGGGCAACAGAGUGAGAUUCCAACUCAAAAAAAAAAAAAAAGAAAAGGUGGCUUGGGUCACUCCAGUGAGAGCUGCCAUCCCCAUGGCCUCCAGACGGUCUCCAGACUGCCUUGCAGAGGUCAUCCCAUCCACCUAGCUGGAGCCUUCCUUUUUCACGGACUCUACAGGUGUUUUGGUAAAGUUUGGGCUCCUACAUACAGUCCCCCAAUCUGCAUACCUCAGAGGUUUCUCCAGGCUCUGGGCACAGGUAGGUGCUCCUUUGUUUAGGGGAGGCUUCCUCAGGACAGAGGGAAGAGGCCACCCAGCCCUGAGGUCAGUACCCCUAGGGAAGCCCAGAAGCUGCCCAUCACCCAGAUUGAGAAGGGAUCUGGGUGAUGUCCAAGGUGGCCUCUUGUGCUCACGGCCCCCGUGGACCUCCCAGUGGAUAAGGCCUUGAUGCAUAUGCUCCUGUCCAUUGCAGUCAGCACAUGGCUGAGAUUCACAAUGGGAGAGCUGCCCAAUGGGAGUCUUUGUCCAAGAACAAGUGUUCAUUAUGAUGACUCCCAGCUCUACUUUCUCUAUGGUAAUAGAUGAUAGCUUAGGUUGGUCCCCUUUGAAGAACUGACUGUAGAGCAAACAAAUACUUGGGGGGAACAUAAAAUAAGAUUAUAAUUCAUAUUCUCAGAAUGAUUCCAUAAUAAAAAAGAAGCUUUGGACAUUUUAAUAUUACUUGUGAAAAUAAAAACCCAAAUGUCACAGCCAAGAGGAGACAAGACAACUACAUGUAAUAUAGUGUGAUGAAUGGGAUCCUGGAACAAAAAGUGGACAUUAGGUAAAAACUAAGACAAUCUGGGUAAAGUGUGGAUUUUGUAUCAAAAUUGCUUCAAUGAUGAUAACAAAGGUACCACACUAAUGUAACUGUUAAUAAUAAACUUAUGUGGGAUAUAUGGGAACUAUCUGUACCAUCUUUGCAAUUUUUCUAUCAAUAUGAAAUUAUUCUAAAAUAAAAACUGUUUAAAAAGCAGCAACAGAAGGGGUAAACUAUAAAGAUAUGAUAUUUCAGAAUGUGGGGCCAAGGGCAGAGAAAAACAAAGGAAAGGUGAAAUGUAGAGAUUCCAUCGGUUCUAGAUCUAGAGAACAGAGAUCACGGAGAGGAGAUGAAGAGGGUUGGUAGGAUGAGAUAGUAUUAAAAGAAGACAGGAAAGGCAGAGAUUUCCCACAGUUAAAGGACUUCAGGCCCGUCGCAGUGGUUCAUGCCUUUAAUCCCAGCACUUUGGGAGGCCAAGGCGGGCGAAUCACGAGGUCAGGAGUUCGAGACCAGCCGGGCCAACAUGGCGAAACCCCGUCUCUACCAAAAUACAAAAAUUAGCUGGGCAUGGUGGCAGACGCCUGUAAUCCCAGCUACUUGGGAGGCUGAGGCAGGAGAAUUGCUUGAACCCAGAAGGCAGAGGUUGCAGUGAGCUGAGCUCACACCAAUGCACUCCAGUCUGGGUGACAGAGCGAGACUCUAUCUCAAAAAAAAAAAGAAAAAGGGUAAGGACAUGCGGAGAUAGGCUCUCUCACACAAAUGAAUGAGUCUAUAAAUUGGUGGAAACUUCUUGGAGGGCAAUUUGCCAGAAUCUGAUAACACCGUAAAAUAUGUACAUCCUCUCCCUGGUUCUCAGUAUCUACCUUAGAGAAAUACCCACCUACAGGUGCACAAAGAGGAAUGCUCAAGAACUUUCAUUGCAGCAUUGUUUGUAACAUGGAAAAAAAUCUAAAAGUCCAUCAAGGGAGUGCUUCUAAUUUUUAAGACAAUUUAAGCAGAGUCUCACUGUGUUGCCCAGGCUGGUCUUGAACUCCUGGGCUCAAGCCAAAGGAAUGCUUCUACACUUUGACAUAGUAUUCAGCAGUGAAAAGAAUGUAAUAGAACUUGGUGGGCCACCAUGGAAAUAUCUCUAAGACAUCUGUUAAGUGAGAAAAGCAAGUUGCAUGGAGUUAUGUGCAGUUUGAUCCAAUUAUGUAAAAGAGAAAAGAAUGCAAAAUAUAUAUUUUAUAUGUACAUAUAAGUACCAAUUAAUAGAAAAAAUGUCUCAAAGGAUGCAUACCAGAAUGACAGCAAUGAUUAAUUACCUUGCAAGAGUUUUCAGAGGCUGGGCAUGAUGGCUCAUACCUAUAAUCUUAGCACUUUGGGAGGCUGAGACAGGAGGAUCGCUUGAGCCCAGGAGUUUGAGAUCAGCCUGGGCAACAUGGAGAGACUACAUCUCUACAAAAAUAAAUUAGCUAGGUGUGGUGGCAGGCACCUCUUGUCCCAGCUAUUCAGGAAGCUGAGGUGGGAAGGUUGCUUGAGCUCAGGAGUUUGAGGCUGCAGUGAGCUAUGAUGACACCACUGCACUCCAUCCUGGGUGACAGAGCGAGACCCUGUCUUUAAAAAAAAAAAGAACAAAAAAAUGUAAAAAAAGAGUUUGCAGGGAGGCAGGGAAGAUGAAGGGGUAUUAGAAUAUGGACGUUUUUGUUUUAUCAGGAUUGUUUAUUUUUAUUUAUGUAUUUAUUUAUUUAAUUAUUGAGGCAGAGUCUCGCUCUGUCACCCAGGCUGGAGUACAAGUGGCACGAUCUUGGCUCACUGAAACCUCCACCUCCUCUCAGCCUCCCGAGUAGCAGGGAUUACAGGCAACCGCCACCACACCCAGCUAAUUUUUGUAUUUUUAGUAGAAACUGGAUUUCACCAUGUUGGCCAUGCUGGUCUCUAACUCCUGACCUCAGGUGAUCCACCCCCCUCGGCCUCCCAAAGUGCUGGGAUUACAGGCGUGAGCCACAGUGCCCGGCCUUAUCAGGAUUGUUUAAAUCUUCUACAGUGAAAUUUAUCUACUUAAUCUAAAAAUUAUAUAAUGUUGUUAAUUGGUGUUUUCAACAUGUAAAAUCAAUUUGUAAAUAAAGGACUGAACAGAAUGUAAAGGUUGUCAGGCCUGAGAACGCACAGGUAAGGAUGUAGCUGGUAGAGGUGGUAGAUGAGGGGUGUCUCAUUGUCUGGCUUCAGCUGGUGAAACACUGAGACACUCCCUAAAGCUUGGGGAGCAGGAAAUAGAGAUUUUAGUGUAUCGUUUAAAUUUGCAAAAUUAACAAAAAGAACUGAAAUUACCAGUGCACGUAUUACAAUUGGUGGGGGAUAGGGAAUGAAAUGCCAAGUGAAGGGGAAAGAGCUAAAUUCUUGUCUUUCACAACAGGGAGCCAGUAGAUAUUGUCCAAGUUAAGAAUCCUAACUUAGAGUUCAAGGCUAGCCUGGGCAACAUGGUGAAACCUUGUCUCUACAAAAAAAAAAACCCACAAAAAUUAGGUGGGAGUGGUGGUGUGUGCCUAUAGUCCUACCUACUCGGGGGGCUCAGGCGGGAGGAUCGCUUGAGCCCAGGAGGCAGAGGUUGCAGUGAGCCGAGAUCAUGCCACUGUACUCCAGCCUGGGCGACAGAGUGAGACCCUGUCUAAAAAUAAAAAAUUUA
Molecule: RNA transcript, 7751 nt
Organism: Symphalangus syndactylus (siamang)
Lineage: Eukaryota; Metazoa; Chordata; Mammalia; Primates; Hylobatidae
Gene: SDE2
Gene name: spliceosome associated SDE2
Source: RefSeq, a predicted model, not a curated record